Molecule: ribosomal RNA, 292 nt
Filed under: uncultured prokaryote
Description: partial 16S ribosomal RNA
Rfam family: Bacterial small subunit ribosomal RNA
Source: RNAcentral
GUGUCAGCCGCCGCGGUAACACGGGGGGCGCAAGCGUUAUUCGGAAUUAUUGGGCGUAAAGGGCGCGCAGGCGGUCUUGUCAGUCAGGUGUGAAAGCCCGGGGCUCAACGCCGGACGUGCACUUGAAACAGCAAGACUUGAGUACGGGAGAGGAAAGCGGAAUUCCUGGUGUAGAGGUGAAAUUCGUAGAUAUCAGGAGGAACACCGAUGGCGAAGGCAGCUUUCUGGACCGAUACUGACGCUGAGGCGCGAAGGCGUGGGUAGCGAACGGGAUUAGAUACCCCCGUAGUCC